UCGGGUGCGGAUGCGUGGGAGGAAAGGGGCAGGGGCAGGAACUGGUGGAAGAGCUGACAGCAAGGGGAGUGGCCAAACGGAGGCGGGGCCUGGAAGGGGGCGUGGCUUGCGGGCCUCUGGGCCGCCCGGCCUCUUUAGGUGCCGCAGCGGAAGGCCUGGAGCAGAGGCUGCUUCUCCGCCCAAGCACUCCCUGGCGAGCCCAGGCCCUCCCGAGGAGCAGAGAAUGGAAGGAAACCAAGUUUUGUCCUGCGAGUCCUCGCCCUCUGCAGGAAGAGGAUGUGGUGAGGCCAGCUUUUCCAUAUGCAGUUAGGCAUCGAAGGGAAGAUCUGCUGUACCUAAGUGGGGUGGGCAUUUCAUUUUUAGGGACCGUCUUUGUUAAAAUAGUAAGUGGAAUAGAUAGAGCCAAAGCCACUUCUUAAAAAUACACAGAAAGUAUUUAGAUGAUGUUAAUUAAUAAGGCCCUCCAGCGAAAGGGGUGCUGAGCUGGGAACUGAGAUAGUCCUUCCUCUAUCACUGCGGUCCUCUGUCAUCUCGAAUGAGUCAGUUAACUUUCUGGGCUUCCUUCAUUCUGUCACCCAUAAAAGGAAUGCUCCCCAAGACUUCCGUCCUGCAAGUCUAUAAAGGGCAGUCUGGUGAAGUUUCACAGCUUCAGCUCCGGUAUCGUUAAUCACAGGAUCGUGGCUGCAAACCUCCCAGCCCUUCAGCACCAAACAGGUGUUAAAGCAAAGAGAAUGAAGGCAAGAUCCUCGGGAUUCUCUGGGAAAGGAGGCAAGCUGCUCUGUGUUCUGGCGCUCGCAGUCCGCAGGGAGACUGGUGAAGCCCACAUUUUCUUUCCAAGCCCUCAGGGUCCAAGAGACUGGAUACUAGAUGUGUAGUGGCUGGGUAUCUGGGCAGAGAGAGAAGUCUAUCGUUCUGAGGAGCAGGAAGGACUGGGAAGAGGGUACCCAGUGUACAAGAGCCAGACUGAUGUGGUUGGAGGAUGGGGGGCAAUGUCAGGGUAGGAAACACUUUUACAUUUCCGGGGAAUAAACAACUAUUCUGGCGCCA
RNAcentral lists this long non-coding RNA (1047 nucleotides) under Homo sapiens (human). RNAcentral's name for it is "HSALNT0172161". The record is from RNAcentral. Lineage: Eukaryota; Metazoa; Chordata; Mammalia; Primates; Hominidae.